GUUUAAAUUGUUAUUGAUUUUUUGUGUGUAUUUUAUUUGUUAAAAAUAUUUAUAUUUUAUUAUUUACUUAGAAAAAAUUUUUUUUAUUAUAGUUGAUUAGUACUGUGAGGGAAUUAACUUAAACGUUUAAAAGAAGAUUUUAUUUUGUACCUUGUGCAUCAGGGUUGAUUUAUUAAUAAGUUUGUAUUAAUUUUUCUCGAAAUUAAAAGAGCUAAUUAAGUAUGUAUUUUAUUGUUUAAUAACUAUUUAUAAUAUUUAAUUAGAUGUGAAAUGUUAUUCGUUUUUAAUUAUAUCUAGUUUCUUAAGAAAAAAGUUUAAUUUUAUGUUUAGUGUUGAAUUUUUUUAUAUUUUAAAUUUAUUUUUGCUUUACUUUUAUUUUUAAGGGGAUAAGCUUUUAAAAAAAAACUUAUAAUAGUAUUGGUAUUUAAAUAAUUUAUAGGAUUAAAAUUUUUCAUAGAUUUAAGAAUGUUAUAAUUUAUUAUUUGAGAUUUUUAUUUAUAUUUUUGUUUAAGUUUUUUAUUAAGAUUUUGUAUGUAAUGUUUUUUUAUAAUAAAUAAUGAUUAAAUUAGUAUAGAUAAUUGUUUAAAGAUUUUUUUUUUGAGGUAAAUCUAAGGAACUCGGCAAAAGUGCUUUUCACCUGUUUACUAAAAACAUGUCCUUUUGAUUAUAAUUUAAGGUUUAACCUGCCCACUGAAGUUUAAAUGGCCGCGGUAUUUUGACCGUGCAAAGGUAGCAUAAUCAUUAGUUUUUUAAUUGAAAGCUGGAAUGAAUGGUUGGAUGAGAAAGCGUCUGUCUCAGAUUUAUUUUUUAGAAAUUUAUUUUUAAGUUAAAAAGCUUAAAUGGUAUUAAAAGACGAGAAGACCCUAUAGAAUUUUAUAUAUUUUACUUAUUUUUUUUGGUUUUGUUUUAUUUUUAUUGUAAUUAUAUAUUUUGUUGGGGUGACAGAAAAAUUUGAUUAACUUUUUCUUUCUUUUUUCAUGUAUUAUUGUUUAAUUGAUCCAAAUUUUUUGAUUAUAAGAAUAAAUUACCUUAGGGAUAACAGCGUAAUUUCCUUAAAGAGUUCUAAUCGAAAAGGAAGAUUGCGACCUCGAUGUUGGAUUAAAGUUUAUUUUUGGUGCAGAAGCUUUAAUAUUAGGUCUGUUCGACCUUUAAAACUUUACAUGAUCUGAGUUUAAACCGGUGUGAGCCAGGUUGGUUUCUAUCUUUAAUUUAUUAAAAUAUCUUAGUACGAAAGGACCAGAUAUUUAAUUAAUAAUUUUUAUAUUGAAUACUACU
RNAcentral lists this ribosomal RNA (1275 nucleotides) under Cleroidea sp. 2 KM-2017. RNAcentral's name for it is "16S ribosomal RNA". The stretch from base 1035 to 1193 matches the Rfam family "Archaeal large subunit ribosomal RNA", at positions 2542 to 2701 of the family's 2987-position model. Lineage: Eukaryota; Metazoa; Arthropoda; Insecta; Coleoptera. The record is from RNAcentral.